GCGCAGCAGUCGCGAAACCUUCGCAAUGCGGGAAACCGCGACGAGGGGACUCCCAGUGCCUACGCUCAGCGUAGGCUGUUCCCGAGCCUAGAAAGCUCGGGGAGUAAGGGCUGGGUAAGACGGGUGCCAGCCGCCGCGGUAAUACCCGCAGCCCGAGUGGUGGCCACUAUUAUUGGGCCUAAAGCGUCCGUAGCCGGCCCGGUAAAUGCCUGGGUAAAUCGUGAGGCCUAACCUCACGAAUUCCGGGUAGACUGCCGGGCUAGGGACCGGAGGAGGGAGAGGGUACUCCAGGGGUAGGGGUGAAAUCCUGUAAUCCCUGGAGGACCACCGGUGGCGAAGGCGCUCUCCUAGGACGGGUCCGACGGUGAGGGACGAAAGCCAGGGGAGCGAACCGGAUUAGAUACCUCUGUAGU
RNAcentral lists this ribosomal RNA (413 nucleotides) under uncultured microorganism. RNAcentral's name for it is "bacterial SSU rRNA". It matches the Rfam family "Archaeal small subunit ribosomal RNA", at positions 330 to 745 of the family's 1478-position model. The record is from RNAcentral.